This 963-nucleotide long non-coding RNA is filed under the name Lupinus angustifolius (narrow-leaved blue lupine). RNAcentral describes it as "long non-coding RNA (LANG_LNC002956)". Lineage: Eukaryota; Viridiplantae; Streptophyta; Magnoliopsida; Fabales; Fabaceae. The record is from RNAcentral.
UUUGUAUUUUGUUUCUUAUGUUUUUUUUAAUUUGUUUCAAUUUUUUGAUGUCCAACAAUUAAAUUAUUUUCAUUAACUCUAUUUAGGUGACAUGACCUUAACUAUAAAUGGUUCAUUUUCUUCCUCACUAACCUUUACCAUGGUUGAUUAUCGUCUAAGCUUGUGACCUCCACCAUGGCCAUCGUCUUGAACAUUGGCUUUAAUGGUUGUCGUUCUUCACACGAAUAUCGAUUUUCUUGUAUUGGAUGUUGUGAACAUAGAUGGGAAAGUCUAGAUCCAGGGACGAGGAUCACUUGUCCCUAAUGGUGUUCCGUUCUCUGUCCAAAGUCAAUCAUAUAUUAACACGUGAAUAAAAUAAAAAAAUUAAAAGCAAAAAGUAAUAUAAUAGAAUAUUCUGAUUGACUUGGGACAUAGAGUAAGACACCAUUUAGGACAAGUGAUCUACUUCACAGAUCUAAAUAUGGGAAACAAAGUUGACCUAUGAUAGCCCAUUUGUCUUCAUAGGAAUGAGAACUUAUGAGUUUUAGUCAAAAACAGAGCAACGAGUUUCAAUCACCACUUUUGCAUCUUGGUUGACAUAAAUAAUAUAAUUGUUGGACAUCAAAAACUUAAGAGACUUAUUUGGAACAAAAAAAGCUUAAGAAAUUAGAUACUAAACUUAAAAUAACUUAAGGGAUUGAGUAGGGUUUUGCCAAUUUGAUUUAAUUUUUGAAAAGAAUUAUGAACAAUUUAUUUUCUCAAAUACAUACAAUAUUAAUAUUCAAAUAAUGGAACUCUCACCAUAUGAAGAUGUGGUUGCAUUGCUAGGUUGCUAGGUUGCUAGGAUACAAUAAAACAUACCCACCGAUUCCUCAUAAAGCUUCAACCCAAGUUGUUUUCUUUUUGUUCAUGUUCGAAUGAAGAAAAAGUGAAAAUAUCAAGUAGUGCCAACACCACUUUCUUUAAAUAUUAAUUUUGUUCUUC